UUACACAUGCAAGUCGAACGGUAACAGGUCUUCGGAUGCUGACGAGUGGCGAACGGGUGAGUAAUACAUCGGAACGUGCCCGAGAGUGGGGGAUAACGAAGCGAAAGCUUUGCUAAUACCGCAUACGAUCUCAGGAUGAAAGCAGGGGACCGCAAGGCCUUGCGCUCACGGAGCGGCCGAUGGCAGAUUAGGUAGUUGGUGGGAUAAAAGCUUACCAAGCCGACGAUCUGUAGCUGGUCUGAGAGGACGACCAGCCACACUGGGACUGAGACACGGCCCAGACUCCUACGGGAGGCAGCAGUGGGGAAUUUUGGACAAUGGGCGCAAGCCUGAUCCAGCCAUGCCGCGUGCAGGAUGAAGGCCUUCGGGUUGUAAACUGCUUUUGUACGGAACGAAAAGACUCUGGUUAAUACCUGGGGUCCAUGACGGUACCGUAAGAAUAAGCACCGGCUAACUACGUGCCAGCAGCCGCGGUAAUACGUAGGGUGCGAGCGUUAAUCGGAAUUACUGGGCGUAAAGCGUGCGCAGGCGGUUAUGUAAGACAGAUGUGAAAUCCCCGGGCUCAACCUGGGAACUGCAUUUGUGACUGCAUAGCUAGAGUACGGCAGAGGGGGAUGGAAUUCCGCGUGUAGCAGUGAAAUGCGUAGAUAUGCGGAGGAACACCGAUGGCGAAGGCAAUCCCCUGGGCUGUAUGACGCUCAUGC
This 704-nucleotide ribosomal RNA is filed under the name uncultured beta proteobacterium. RNAcentral's name for it is "bacterial SSU rRNA". It matches the Rfam family "Bacterial small subunit ribosomal RNA", at positions 49 to 752 of the family's 1533-position model. Lineage: Bacteria; Pseudomonadati; Pseudomonadota; Betaproteobacteria. The record is from RNAcentral.